This 557-nucleotide ribosomal RNA is filed under the name uncultured bacterium. RNAcentral's name for it is "bacterial SSU rRNA". It matches the Rfam family "Bacterial small subunit ribosomal RNA", at positions 777 to 1343 of the family's 1533-position model. The record is from RNAcentral.
AAUAGAUACCCUGGUAGUCCACGCCGUAAACGAUGGAUGCUAGCUAUUGGGGGGAAUCGACCCCCUCCGAAGCGAAGCUAACGCGUUAAGCAUCCCGCCUGAGUAGUACGAGCGCAAGCUUAAAACUCAAAGGAAUUGACGGGGACCCGCACAAGCGGUGGAGCGUGUGGUUUAAUUCGAUGGUAAACGAAGAACCUUACCAAGGUUUGACAUCCCGGUAGCCGUUCUCCGAAAGGAGAAUUUCAUUUAGUUGGACCGGUGACAGGUGAUGCAUGGCCGUCGCAGCUCGUGUCGUGAGAUGUUGGGUUAAGUCCCGCAACGAGCGCAACCCUUAUGAUUUAGUUGGAUUUUUCUAAACAGACUGCCCUGGUAACAGGGAGGAAGGAGGGGAUGAUGUCAGGUCAGUAUUUCCCUUACACCUUGGGGCGACACACGCGCUACAAUGGCCGGUACAAUGGGCAGCUAAGCCGCGAGGUGGAGCAAAUCCCAUCAAAGCCGGUCCCAGUUCGGAUUGCAGGCUGAAACCCGCCUGCAUGAAGCCGGAAUCGCUAGUAACC